UCCAGCUCCAAWAAGCGUAWAUUAAAGUAGUUGCAGUUAAAAAGCUCGUAGUUGAACCUCGGGUUCAACUGGCUGGUCCGCCGAAAGGUGNUACUGGUUCAGUUGGACCUUUCCUCCUGGCUAACCUUAAUGUCCUUCACCGGAUGUUUUGGCGAACCAGGACUUUUACUUUGAAAAAAUUAGAGUGUUCAAAGCAGGCCUUCGCUCGAAUAUAUUAGCAUGGAAUAAUAAAAUAGGACGUAUGGUUCUAUUUUGUUGGUUUCUAGGACCAUCGUAAUGAUUAAUAGGGACAGUCGGGGGCAUCAGUAUUCAGUUGUCAGAGGUGAAAUUCUUGGAUUUACUGAAGACUAACUACUGCGAAAGCAUUUUGCCAAGGAUGUUUUCAUUAAUCAAGAACGAAAGUUAGGGGAUCGAAGACGAUCAGAUACCGUCGUAGUCUUAACCAUAAACUAUGCCGACUAGGGAUUGGGCGACGUUCUAUUAUGACUCGCUCAGCACCUUACGAGAAAUCAAAGUUUUUGGGUUCUGGGGGGAUGUCGCAAGCUGAACUUAAAGAAUGACGAAGGCACCACCAGGAGUGGACUGCGCUUAAUUGACUCAACACGGGAAACUCACCAGGUCCAGACACAAUAAGGAUUGACAGAUUGAGAGCUCUUUCUUGAUUUUGUGGGUGGUGGUGCAUGGCCGUUCUUAGUUGGUGGAGUGAUUUGUCUGCUUAAUUGCGAUAACGAACGAGACCUUAACCUACUAAAUAGCUCGAUCAGCUUUGGCUGAUUAUUAGCUUCUUAGAGGGACUAUCGUUUUCAAGACGAUGGAAGUUUGAGGCAAUAACAGGUCUGUGAUGCCCUUAGACGUUCUGGGCCGCACGCGCGCUACACUGACGGAGCCAACGAGUACAUAACCUUGGCCGAGAGGCUUGGGUAAUCUUGUUAAACUCCGUCGUGCUGGGGAUAGAGCAUUGCAAUUAUUGCUCUUCAACGAGGAAUUCCUAGUAAGCGCAAGUCUUCAGCUUGCKUUGUAUUACGUCCCUG
This 1031-nucleotide ribosomal RNA is filed under the name uncultured fungus. RNAcentral's name for it is "SSU rRNA". It matches the Rfam family "Eukaryotic small subunit ribosomal RNA", at positions 586 to 1675 of the family's 1831-position model. The record is from RNAcentral. Lineage: Eukaryota; Fungi.